GGCCGGUAGCCUCUACCCGAAGACGGCUGUCACGGGUGAUCAGGGCGGUUGUUCCGCCUGAAAAGCGGAAGGUCGGCGGUUCGACCCCGUCCCUGGCCA
This 99-nucleotide transfer RNA is filed under the name Streptomonospora salina. Its description in RNAcentral is "tRNA-Phe". The record is from RNAcentral. Lineage: Bacteria; Bacillati; Actinomycetota; Actinomycetes; Streptosporangiales; Nocardiopsidaceae.